GGAAAUGACAGUGUGCAUUUCUGUGACAAUAGACAAGAACAGCUCAAGGACAGAACUACAUACAUUUAAAUACACAGAAUAAAUGCAUUGAAAGCGUUUCUGUGAAGCUUUGUGAUCGACAAGGACAAGUUUGAUGUCGGACAACAAUAGAAUGUUCAUGAUUUAAUGGGCCAAAGAUGGUAAGGUGAAAGGCACCGUUUAUACUGAGGGGUUGGUGGGACUUCUAAAUACAUUACCACUAUCAUGACUAGGUCGGUUGGCAGGACUUCUAAAUACAUUACCACAAUCAUGACUAGGUUGGUUGGCAGGACUUCUAAAUACAUUACCACAAUCAUGACUAGGUCGGUUGGCAGGACUUCUAAAUACAUUACCACAAUCAUGACUAGGUCGGUUGGU
Oncorhynchus tshawytscha (Chinook salmon) is the source of this 396-nucleotide long non-coding RNA. NCBI's taxonomy places the organism in Eukaryota, Metazoa, Chordata, Actinopteri, Salmoniformes, Salmonidae. The record is from Ensembl.